UUUUGAGAAUCGGCUGGCAUCAGAGUGCUGACUGACAAACUUCCCGGGGUCUGGGCAUUGUGGGGACGGAGCCUGCAGACGGUGGUGUCCUCGCUAGGAGAGCCGUGGGGACGUGAUUAACAGUUACAAGCUAUUGAGGCACUCCAGAGUGACAGCAUGUGAUCCCCCUGACACAAGAAACAGGCCCAGAUAACACACCGUUCAGACCGACAGCAGUUCUGGUUAUGCUACAGUACAUCAGAAGUGUGCUCUUAUCCAUCCACAGUUCUUAUCACAGUUACUUAUGCAUACAUUUAUUUUUUAUACAAAAGAAUCUUGAAUCGGUCACUUAAGAAAUAUUGAACCUCAAUAACAAAAAAUACUGAAAGUAUA
This 372-nucleotide long non-coding RNA is filed under the name Pongo abelii (Sumatran orangutan). Its description in RNAcentral is "lincRNA". The record is from RNAcentral. Lineage: Eukaryota; Metazoa; Chordata; Mammalia; Primates; Hominidae.